This 21-nucleotide non-coding RNA is filed under the name Caenorhabditis elegans. The record is from RNAcentral. Lineage: Eukaryota; Metazoa; Nematoda; Chromadorea; Rhabditida; Rhabditidae.
UCCGUUUGAAUUAUGGCCAGU